Molecule: long non-coding RNA, 6151 nt
Organism: Salvelinus fontinalis (brook trout)
Lineage: Eukaryota; Metazoa; Chordata; Actinopteri; Salmoniformes; Salmonidae
Exons: 4
Source: RefSeq, a predicted model, not a curated record
AACGUUUUACUAUGAUUGGUUUAGUCUGCACAUAAUGCAAUGUAUAACCCAAUCAUGGAUGGAUACGCGUAAUGCGCACAAAAAGACACAUCCGUGAAGGAAUUCGAUUAUCUGGCCCGGGUUGGUCCCUACCCCAUUUAGAUUUCAAUUUAAAAUGGUUAAAGAGCGACUGCCCCUAAAAAAACAGCGAUGUGGCAUUGAUAUGAGUCAGAAACAUGUAUUAUAGUGUCAAACUUGACUACAAAGUGUAAAAAUAAUAAUUUUGUUCAUGAAGUCAGUCUUGUCUAAACCCGAGUUUAGAACCUCGGGGCAUCACACCGAGUAAAUUAAGUUUGGGUUUCGAUUACAAUUAUGUCGAUAAAUCAUGCCCCUUUUGUCAAACUCCACGUGUAAAUUGCCCCUCCCACUUCGUUCCCCUUCAUGGAAUGUAGCUCAGUUGUUUCUUCGUCCUAAACCAAAGCGAUCAUGGCCGUUUGAGACUGAAAAGCCCUAUACGGAUUGACCAUGCAAAGCAUGCUUCCAGCUAGGUUGAAGAGGAAGUGCAUAGUUGGGUGCCAGACUGAUCCCGUGGUCAUGAACGGAUGCUGGAACCUACCAGAAGGAGCAAAGCUUGUCAGGCAAGACCUAAGAAUAAGUGUGUUUCACAACAAGUACUCGUGACACCUCAUCCAUUGUUGCCAGUCUCCCUCAACUCUGAUGAAAAGGACACGCCAUCAUGAGGCAUCUGACCGUGACCCGAGUUACUGCCCUGACGACAGAGAUGGCUUCAUCGACAGGCACUUCCAGUCAACACCACCUAAUAAGAUUGGCUGCUGCAGUUGUUUGAGAGAUGUCCAGUUUGCAGCUGAACAUGCAGCAUAGAAAAGACAAGCAAGGGGUCCCUCAUCAGCAUCAUGCAGACAUGCCCUCGCAGUGAGCAUUCCUAUGAAUGGAACAUGUUGUGGCUGACAAGUAUCUAACCAGCAACCUUCACCUGUCCGCGGCAAAAGCUUUCACAGGAUCAUCAUUUGUACAAAUACAAACAUUUCAUUAUUUUGAUACAUUUGAUACCCCAAUUGUGAAACAAUUAUGUAAACUGACAGUUGUUGCUCCCAAAGCACAGGGGUGGAGGGACUGCGGCCCAGUCCUCACACAGCAGUCAGAGAAGGAGAUGUUCACCCCUCCGAGUCCAGACUGCAAAUUAAUCAAUCGCUCAUGUGGGAAGCCACCGCUGUCUGAUCCCACCAUGGCUUACAUAAAAAAAAUACAAUUAACCUGAAUUAGGGCCAGACUAGUUACCAUAAUUUUCUCACAUUGCCAUUGACAGUUUUUUCUAUUGUCUCUUUUUGGUCCAUUUAGAUUGUUAAUGUAGAUUGUAUACAAAUUUUAUAUUUUUUAUGUUAUGGUUAAAAAUGUUCAUGUUUUACUGUGACUUGUUGUAGGCUCCUAAGUGGACCAUAGGUUAAAAACCAAACCAAAUUAAGAAAAAUAAAAAACAAAACAUAAAAUAAACAACAAAGUAACUUCGCCAGUGUCUAUUUUGGGUCACUUUUGCCGGUCCCAAGCCCGGAUAAAAGAGGAGGGUUGGAAUUGUGACAUAAAAAAAAAAAAAUUUCAUUUGUAGUUCUAAACAUAGUGUAACGACCCUGGGUUUAUAAGCUCGGAAAUCGACUGCCGCACAAGCAUGCUUUUGCGCGCUGGACUUCGGGCUAGAAGGUCGAGGGUUCGAGACCUGCUCCCUGCCUGUUUCAUUACAUUGGUGUCAGAAGUGAUCGGACCUUGCAUCCACGGCAGUCUGUGUGCUUGGCCGGUGAGCGCGUUCCUGUAAGACGUAGAGCGCGAGGACGCGCUCUUUGAAAGGAGGGAGUAGUGUAACGACCCUGGGUUUAUAAGCGCGGAAAUCGACUCUGCCGCACGAGCAUGCUUUUGCGGCACAGUCGAUAGCACGCUGGACUUCGGGCUAGAAGGUCGAGGGUUCGAGACCUGCUCCCUGCCUGUUUCAUUACAAUAUUUAGGGUGUUUUUUUACUCACCUUCUGUCUCUCCCACGACGUUAUUCCUCUCCUACAGCGUCCAUCACAAUUACAUUAACAUGGCCAAUUAUGUAAAUUAGGUGAUGACGCCAUUUCGCGACUUUUAGGACAGCCAAUAGCUACUUUCCUUACUGAGGAUUUGGCAACACUGCAAGCCAGUCAUCCUCACUACAAGCCCUCUGCCUCAGCACUGCAUUCCUUUAUUCCAUUACACAUUGCUUUCAGGUGACUCUGUUUUAAAAGAUCAGUAACUAGGUGAAACAAAAAGAACCAGUAGCUAGGUGAAACAAAAAAGCUGGUCCAGAUGCAUCAUUCGAACAAUAAUAAUUAGCCAGCCAGCUAACGUUAGCUAGCUAGCCAAGCCAAAAAGAAUUGACCUGCCAGUCCAUCUGCAAAUUUGUAAUAAAACUGAAUGUUAUCAAAAACAGAUAAAACAUUUAAAAACACUUACAUGUACAUAGAGCUCUCUGCUUAGGCUGCUGCCAUGGCAACAACAUAGCUGUAAAUUUGAAAAACCUAGCAACUUGGGUGUGUUCGUAAAUUCAUUCUGGAGUGCGCUUUGGGCGUUGUCAGACUGUUUGUAAAUUCAGAGCGUUCUGUCUGUCAGUCUGUCAAGGAGUUGGGUUGAUCCGAGCGUUCUGACCUCAACCGCAGUCAAGCACCAAAGCUAACGUUGGCUAACUUGCUAGCUACGUCCAGACCAGUGGCGAUUUUAACAUGUAAAUCUUGGUGGGGAAAACUCAAACAUUAAAAAAAUAAAAGUAAAUGCAUGCCAGCAAAGACACUACACAACACUAAAAAAUACAUUACUUGCACUAUAACGGUGGCAAGCGGUGCCCACAAACUUUUACGGCCUACAUAAAGCUGGCCCAACAGCAAAGCUUUCUUUCCAGCACAAUGGAGUGAAUCCUUUACCACCGCUACACCUGGCUGUCAGUGAAAAAAUUAAUUCAGCCUCGUUUAAAAACAUAGCUGAUAUGGCUGACUUGCUUAAGCAAAUAUGGUUUCUUCUUACAAUUUAGAUGUACAAACGAUGGCAUAAGGGAACGAUAAGAGUCAUUCCGUAAUUUCGAUUAAGAAAUUAAUGAGCGAAUGACAAAGGAUGUAGUCAAUAUAGUAACUAUGUGUUCAGCACUUUUGAAAUGUACAGCAACAGAAUGCAGAACGUGGGCUGCUCUUACAGUAUUUAACCUGUACACCAAGUCAGAACCGUAGGAUAAAUAAAGGGGGCAUAUAAGCAGGCAAUGAAAGCUCUUACAAUAUUAGAUUAUGACAUUUCUCAAAAACAGGUUGUAGGCUACAUGUGCACCGCAAAAUUAAAAGGUGAAAAUAGACCAAAUUAUUAGGGUGAGGCACAUGGGCUACUAACAGCUUACCACACAACACACACUUAGUAUUACUUUCUUAGCUACAGUAUACAUAUCUCCCUUGCAUAUUGCAUAAUUUAUGCAGCAGCAUACAAGACAUUUUUGGACUCACCUUGGCUUCGGAUGUGCUCAUUUAAACAUGAAGGUGGUUUUGUCAUCAAACUUUGUCAAACACACAGCCACCAUUGAAUAGCAGGCUACUGGUUGCUUUGCACUGCUUGCAGUCAGCCACUGAUACCUUACAAACGACUCAUUGUUGAAUUUGCAAUUUCCAACUUGUUGUGUAAUCUUUAUGUCCAAUGGCCGAUGAGCACCGAUACGCUUUAUCUAUAAUUUCUCUUCAUAUGACAACGAUUAAAAAGCAUUUGCCAGUAGAUUGUCAACUUGAUUCAUGAUGAUGACUCCUAGCUAAGACUUUGAAAGUAAGAUGUUGACAUGAACAGUCCAAUCUAAACUACUGUACAUAUAACGUGAUUUGAUGUCAUUUUAUCUGUGGCCAGUGAUCUUGAGCCUUCUUGGAAGGGCACUUGUAAUAUAACUCUAUGGCAUUUCAAUUUCAGCCAAAGGGCUGAAAUUUUGGAUGUCUAUUAUUUCUCCUUCUCUAAGGACAUACACUUUGCGAUGGCGUAGUGUCCUCAUGAGUGACAGAACACUGAACCAAUCACGGCGCAAUGCUCCUAUUUUUUGCUGGCACGCCCCACCACCACAGAAAGCACUGAGAUAUGCUGAAACGCCUGCAUUUUGGAGCUGCCUUACUCAAGAAAACAAAUAAUUGAACAUGUGUGUAUGCAGCUUUAUUAACUCACUGAUAUAUAUAUAUUUUUACAUUGUUUGUAAACUGAUAUGUGACACGUAAUAAUUCCAAAAUAACAUGCAAGCCCCCUUUUUUUUUUGCUAAAAAUGUGGGGCUCAAAACAGCACAGCACAAAACAACACGGUUACCAACGCUCUAGAAAACAUGAAAACAGCCUAAAAGACUCUGCACCACCUGCCCUGAAUGACGGGUCGCCACUGGUACAGACACAAAUGAGAGAACACCUCACUCUGAUUAUUUUACUCGCUGUAGCAGAGCUGGUUAGGCUGUUUUCAUGUUUUCCAGAGCGUUGGUAACUGUGCUGCUGGCAAUAAUUUAAUUAGGCUUUUUUGCCAUAUUCAACCGGUGCUGGGUGUUUUUAAAUUCAUCAGUUAUUCUGCGCUCUGGCACACUCAGACAAGACUGCUCUGAAAUCGGAAUAGAUAGCCAGAGCGAAUUUACAAAUGCACCCAUUAUCUACUUUAGCAAUGAAGCCCGAGGAGUUAUGGUAUAUGGCCAAUAUACCACGACUAAGGGCUGUUCUUAUGCACAACGUAAUGCGUAGUGCCUGGACACAGCCCUUAGCCGUGGUACAUUGGCCAUAUAUCACAAACCCCUGAGGUGCCUUAUUGCUAUUAUUAACUGGUUACCAAUGUAAUUAGAGCAGUAAAAAUACAUGUUUUAUUAAAUACAUGAAUAAGGACCCCUUAAAAUUAAGAGUUACCAAAAUACCUGAUACAAUAAAAAAUGUAUAUAUGAGUGCCUUCUAAAUUUCACAAUAAAUUGAAUACCUGAAUUCCUACAAAAAUCACUGAACUACAUUCAUUAUUUGUCUGUGCCAGUAAAAGGUUUCAUGUGCUAUAAUUCAGAUGUCACUACUUCCGCCGAAGUCGGUUCCUCUCCUUGUUCGGGCGGCGGUCGGCGUCGCCGGUCUUCUAGCCAUCAUCGAUCCACUUUUCAUUUUCCUUUUGUUUUGUCUUAUUUUCCCACACAUCUGGUCUCAUUUCCCUCAUUACAUGUUGUGUAUUUAACCCUCUGUUCCCCCCAUGUCUUAGUGCGGAAAUGUUUAUUGUAAGUGCAUGUUUUUGCUGGUGCGUAACGGUUUUUGUACCCAUUUGUUUGUUCUGGUUUCCGGUGUUUUUUAUGAAUAGAACUGCUCCGUUGAUUACCCAGUUUUGCUCUCCUGCGCCUGACUUCCCUGCCGCCAGUUACGCACUCCCUUACAAGAUAAUAUCUGAUGGAUUAGAAAAUUCAAAAAGUUUGGAGUAUCUUCAGCCUUUGUCCAACUGUUGCAUUUAUUGGAAUUGUUUUUAAAACCUAAAACCUACGGUUGCUACUGAAAGGCUGCAAGAUUGAUCAUCCCACUGUUAUUGAUCUAGAUGAAUGUAGGGAAUAUAUUAAUAGACAAGGCAGUGACUUUGGAUGGAAAGUUUGCUGAGAAGAGUUGGAGGUUGGCCCUUCUGUGGUGAUGGGAGAUGUUCCUCCAUGUUUACUCCUGGAUCCUGUUGAUCUAAUCUUGAUAGAAAAAAAUAAAAUAUUGGUCAGAAGGGAGUGGCAUAGGGGAACUGGUUGACAAUUACAUUAGUAGAAGCUUUAAUAGUUUUUUAAAUCAAGGACCCAGAUAGUGGUCAUACAGGAGCAGGUGUUUACAUUCCUGAAUUUGAUGUGGAGAUAUGUUGAAGACUUACAGAUGAAAAUAAUAAUAAUAAUUUAAAAAAAUUAUUUAACCUUUAUUUAACUAGGCAAGUUAGUUAAGAGCAAAUUCUUAUUCACAAUGAUGAACUAAUGAAUUGUCAGUAUACUGAGUUGAACUGUUGGCGAUAGUAACUCCUCUCCAGUGGGUGGAGGACACUCAAACGGUCAGAAAUGUAGUAUGCUCAGAUUCCCUGUCUGUAUCAGUUGUGUGCAUUCAUGUUUGCCAGGUAAAGCCAGGCUUCCCCAAAUAUUUGACCAAUAAAAAUCUAAAAAUGUAAUAAUUUA